This 572-nucleotide non-coding RNA is filed under the name unclassified sequences. Its description in RNAcentral is "ROOL RNA". It matches the Rfam family "ROOL RNA". From Rfam's summary of the family: Firmicutes, Fusobacteria (1 example), Tenericutes (1 example). Environment (Cow rumen (57)) The record is from Rfam by way of RNAcentral.
CUUGCCAAUUUUGAUAGUAGGUAACCUUGUGAAGAUGUUUGUUAAACUGCAAGGAGUUAAGGUAUGUUGAUUCAGUUAUUAUAAGGAUACUUUUAAUAGGUGGAUUUGUUGUAGCAGCAAUGUUGCAGCAGGAGCAGGAAACCUGCAACGACAACUUAACGUGCUUAUUAUAUACGUUCAUAAAAACAUGAUUCUCUUGGUAGCAAUAAUAUACGCUCUCUGUGAGAGAAUAAUCUUAUAUGUUGAAUGUAGGGAUAUAUUUAACCUCUAUAAGAAAUUCCAAAUAAUGCUAUUGGUCGUGAACUUGAGAAAUCAAGGUAUAACAAGAGUUUGUAGUACAAGUAGCCAAAAGGACUAGAAUAUUAGAAAAUAAUAAAGCUUUUCUGAAAAACUGGUGAAAGUUAGAGGUAGUCAAUCCUCUUCAAGUUUUUAGUGUUGUUGCACUAUUGUAAAAUACGGGGCAAGAAGCAUUGGGGUAGCUCCUUAAUGCUCAGACUUGUCUUCUUGGUGGUUGAAUAUAUGAGAAGUAUGUAAUCGGUAAGGUGAAGACCUACCUGCUAUUUUCACAUGGA